RNAcentral lists this long non-coding RNA (1201 nucleotides) under Chinchilla lanigera (long-tailed chinchilla). RNAcentral describes it as "lncRNA (ENSCLAG00000024957.1)". The record is from RNAcentral. Lineage: Eukaryota; Metazoa; Chordata; Mammalia; Rodentia; Chinchillidae.
UUCCAGAAAAAGUUCAAAGGCGGAACUGGUUUUGUAGGUUGACUUCUGCAAGCAAACCUGGAGCUGUCAGUAGCCUUCCUCCUUGACAUGGGCCAACUUCCACCAAAGAAAAAAGAAGUCGAAGAACCUAUGUUUCAUCAACACCUUCUGCUAAAUUCUCCUGUGGCCCUGCACCUGGUACCCACACUCCUGACUGCACUGUUACUCCGUGCUGUAGUGAGCAUAUGGACACAUUGUUUAUCUUGAAGUUCCUUGAAGGUAGGAAUCUCAGCCUAUACGGUUAGGCCAGAUUGACAUAAUGGGGUCUCAACAUGCAUUUGUGAACUGAAUUGGGCUGAGCCUCAAGAUGAAGAACCAAUGGUCAAUUAUGUUAGUCUGUGAACAGAUAUUAAAGAAAAAGAGAAGCAGAAAAGAACUCCUCUCAUUCUAAUGCAAUUUAAUCCUCUAUAUUUCACAAGUGUCCAUGUACAAGGAUACUUCUGUGGAAUUUCAAAGCAAAUGGAAUCUUCCAAAUGUUGCGUGACUUGGCACCAAUGGUGAAAUAUAUUCUCUAGCUCUCUUUCUCUUACAUGCACACACACACACACACACACACACACACACACACACACACAAUUAAUACAUACUUGAGAGCACUAGACAUUCUACUGAAAUACUGAGUACUUUGGGCUGGGCACCCCAAUAUAACUGAAGUCAGUUAAGCCUCUUAGACUGAAUUCUAAGGGCUUUGCAAAGCAAUCAAAUGAGAAGGAAGAGCAGGCAUAACAUUUCAGCAAGUUCCAUGACGCAAUUCAAAAUCAGCCUUUCAGAGGUUCCCUUUUGAAAUUCCAUUUGCUGACAGAGUAUUUAUUAAUACAAUCCUUCAGCACAGGAAAUCGCUCACUGAACAAACAUGAAUACAUUUCCAAAGCCAUAUGUUAAAACCAUUUCAUUAUUUUUACCCAAAGUUCCCUCUAUGAAAAGAAUUUUUUAAAAAAAACCUUCAUUUUAGACUGUCCGGUGAGUACAAUCCCAUUAGCCCAGGCAGCUGCAUCUUUUGAUAAUUUCCCUUCCUAGAAAUAAAAUUUAAAUUCUUCAAAUGCUUCCUCUGGCUUUGUGAUUUUGUUUUAACCUGCUUGGAAACCAGGCUGAUGCCAAAUGUAAUACUGGGAGUUAGGUGAUCUAUGUCAGGAUGCUUUUCAGUGAGUGAAAAUGUAGAGAA